AGUGAACGCUGGCGGUAGGCCUAACACAUGCAAGUCGAACGGCAGCACAGUAAGAGCUUGCUCUUACGGGUGGCGAGUGGCGGACGGGUGAGGAAUACAUCGGAAUCUACUUUUUCGUGGGGGAUAACGUAGGGAAACUUACGCUAAUACCGCAUACGACCUACGGGUGAAAGCAGGGGAUCUUCGGAACUUGCGCGAUUGAAUGAGCCGAUGUCGGAUUAGCUAGUUGGCGGGGUAAAGGCCCACCAAGGCGACGAUCCGUAGCUGGUCUGAGAGGAUGAUCAGCCACACUGGAACUGAGACACGGUCCAGACUCCUACGGGAGGCAGCAGUGGGGAAUAUUGGACAAUGGGCGCAAGCCUGAUCCAGCCAUACCGCGUGGGUGAAGAAGGCCUUCGGGUUGUAAAGCCCUUUUGUUGGGAAAGAAAAGCAGCAGGUUAAUACCCCGCUGUUCUGACGGUACCCAAAGAACAAGCACCGGCUAACUUCGUG
RNAcentral lists this ribosomal RNA (492 nucleotides) under uncultured bacterium. RNAcentral's name for it is "partial 16S ribosomal RNA". It matches the Rfam family "Bacterial small subunit ribosomal RNA", at positions 29 to 507 of the family's 1533-position model. The record is from RNAcentral.